RNAcentral lists this ribosomal RNA (253 nucleotides) under uncultured bacterium. RNAcentral's name for it is "partial 16S ribosomal RNA". It matches the Rfam family "Bacterial small subunit ribosomal RNA", at positions 524 to 776 of the family's 1533-position model. The record is from RNAcentral.
UACAGAGGGGGCAAGCGUUGUUCGGAAUUACUGGGCGUAAAGGGCGCGUAGGCGGUCUGUCGCGUCGGAUGUGAAAACCCAGGGCUCAACCCUGGGCCUGCAUUCGAUACGGGCAGACUAGAGUUCGGUAGGGGAGACUGGAAUUCCUGGUGUAGCGGUGAAAUGCGCAGAUAUCAGGAGGAACACCGGUGGCGAAGGCGGGUCUCUGGGCCGAAACUGACGCUGAGGAGCGAAAGCGUGGGGAGCAAACAGG